Molecule: ribosomal RNA, 497 nt
Filed under: uncultured bacterium
Lineage: Bacteria
Description: partial 16S ribosomal RNA
Rfam family: Bacterial small subunit ribosomal RNA
Source: RNAcentral
GAUGAACGCUGGCGGCGUGCCUAAUACAUGCAAGUCGAGCGAACAGACGAGGAGCUUGCUCCUCUGACGUUAGCGGCGGACGGGUGAGUAACACGUGGAUAACCUACCUAUAAGACUGGGAUAACUUCGGGAAACCGGAGCUAAUACCGGAUAAUAUAUUGAACCGCAUGGUUCAAUAGUGAAAGACGGUUUUGCUGUCACUUAUAGAUGGAUCCGCGCCGCAUUAGCUAGUUGGUAAGGUAACGGCUUACCAAGGCGACGAUGCGUAGCCGACCUGAGAGGGUGAUAGGCCACCCUGGAACUGAGACACGGUCCAGACUCCUACGGGAGGCAGCAGUAGGGAAUCUUCCGCAAUGGGCGAAAGCCUGACGGAGCAACGCCGCGUGAGUGAUGAAGGUCUUCGGAUCGUAAAACUCUGUUAUUAGGGAAGAACAAAUGUGUAAGUAACUAUGCACGUCUUGACGGUACCUAAUCAGAAAGCCACGGCUAACUACGUG